This 333-nucleotide long non-coding RNA is filed under the name Hordeum vulgare. RNAcentral describes it as "long non-coding RNA (HVUL_LNC003040)". Lineage: Eukaryota; Viridiplantae; Streptophyta; Magnoliopsida; Poales; Poaceae. The record is from RNAcentral.
CUCCACUGGAUCCAUUAUAUGGACAUGUAUAGUAAAUAUACAAGAUCUAGGCAGUUUUUUACUGCCCAACGACUCCCAGCGGUUCGUGUCAACGGGGAUGGAAACAACCACGACGAAGCCACGACGGUACGAGGCGUGGAAACAACCACGACGAAGCCACGCUCGUGAGCUCGGCUGCUUCGUCCCGCGGCCCCUACCUCGCCCCAGAUCGCCGUCGCGUUUUCUCCGGUCGCCCCAGAUCUGGCGACGGGAGGGGCAGGGCGGCAGCCUGGCAGAGGAGGGCCGGCGGCCUGGGCAGAGGAGGGGCCGGCGGCCUAGGCAGAGGAGGGAGNG